Molecule: transfer RNA, 23 nt
Filed under: Verbena bracteata (prostrate vervain)
Lineage: Eukaryota; Viridiplantae; Streptophyta; Magnoliopsida; Lamiales; Verbenaceae
Description: partial tRNA-Gly
Source: RNAcentral
GCGGGUAUAGUUUANUGGUAAAA